Molecule: ribosomal RNA, 206 nt
Filed under: uncultured bacterium
Lineage: Bacteria
Description: partial 16S ribosomal RNA
Rfam family: Bacterial small subunit ribosomal RNA
Source: RNAcentral
CACGUAGGCGGUGAAUCGGGUUGAAAGUGAAAGUCGCCAAAAAGUGGCGGAAUGCUCUCGAAACCAAUUCACUUGAGUGAGACAGAGGAGAGUGGAAUUUCGUGUGUAGGGGUGAAAUCCGUAGAUCUACGAAGGAACGCCAAAAGCGAAGGCAGCUCUCUGGGUCCCUACCGACGCUGGGGUGCGAAAGCAUGGGGAAGCGAACA